This 202-nucleotide small RNA is filed under the name Luteibacter sp. RNAcentral's name for it is "Manganese sequence". It matches the Rfam family "Manganese Mn2+ riboswitch aptamer (yybP-ykoY)". From Rfam's summary of the family: This RNA was originally discovered in E. coli during a large scale screen and was named SraF. The family was later found to exist upstream of related families of protein genes in many bacteria, including the the yybP and ykoK genes in B. subtilis. The specific functions of these proteins are unknown, but this structured RNA element may be involved in their genetic regulation as a riboswitch. The record is from RNAcentral. Lineage: Bacteria; Pseudomonadati; Pseudomonadota; Gammaproteobacteria; Lysobacterales; Rhodanobacteraceae.
GCCGAUGUCAUUGGGGAGUAGCCAUCCUCGUUCCCCCUGAGGAGUUCGCGUCAACAGACUUGGCGGUCGUUUUCGACCCCAUGGCGCGAACGGUAGCGGCGCAUGGAGAGUGCGCUGUCGGCCCGGCGAGACCUUUGGCCAUCGACAUGCUCACCCGGCCGGGCGAGCGGUGUCGUUGUGCCAUCGGUUUCUUUCGCUCGCC